GAAGUUUUCAGAGAUGAGAAUGUGCCUUCGGGAACCGUGAGACAGGUGCUGCAUGGCUGUCGUCAGCUCGUGUUGUGAAAUGUUGGGUUAAGUCCCGCAACGAGCGCAACCCUUAUCCUUUUUUGCCAGCGGUCCGGCCGGGAACUCAAAGGAGACUGCCAGUGAUAAACUGGAGGAAGGUGGGGAUGACGUCAAGUCAUCAUGGCCCUUACGACCAGGGCUACACACGUGCUACAAUGGCGCAUACAAAGAGAAGCGACCUCGCGAGAGCAAGCGGACCUCAUAAAGUGCGUCGUAGUCCGGAUUGGAGUCUGCAACUCGACUCCAUGAAGUCGGAAUCGCUAGUAAUCGUGGAUCAGAAUGCCACGGUGAAUACGUUCCCGGGCCUUGUACACACCGCCCGUCACACCAUGGGAGUGGGUUGCAAAAGAAGUAGGUAGCUUAACCUUCGGGAGGGCGCUUACCACUUUGUGAUUCAUGACUGGGGUGAAGUCGUAACAAGGUAACCGUAGGGGAACCUGCGGUUGGAUCACCUCCUUA
This 540-nucleotide ribosomal RNA is filed under the name Escherichia coli. RNAcentral's name for it is "bacterial SSU rRNA". It matches the Rfam family "Bacterial small subunit ribosomal RNA", at positions 993 to 1533 of the family's 1533-position model. The record is from RNAcentral. Lineage: Bacteria; Pseudomonadati; Pseudomonadota; Gammaproteobacteria; Enterobacterales; Enterobacteriaceae.